This 252-nucleotide ribosomal RNA is filed under the name uncultured Bacteroidales bacterium. RNAcentral's name for it is "partial 16S ribosomal RNA". It matches the Rfam family "Bacterial small subunit ribosomal RNA", at positions 524 to 776 of the family's 1533-position model. Lineage: Bacteria; Pseudomonadati; Bacteroidota; Bacteroidia; Bacteroidales. The record is from RNAcentral.
UACGGAGGAUGCGAGCGUUAUCCGGAUUUACUGGGUGUAAAGGGGGCGCAGACGGCGAUGCAAGCCAGGAGUGAAAGCCCGGGGCUCAACCCCGGCGAGCCGUUGAAACUGGCGGGCUGGAGUUGGAGAGAAGUACGCGGAAUGCGCGGUGUAGCGGUGAAAUGCUUAGAUAUCGCGCAGAACCCCGAUUGCGAAGGCAGCGUACCGGCUCCACACUGACGCUGAGGCACGAAAGCGUGGGUAUCGAACAGG